This 253-nucleotide ribosomal RNA is filed under the name uncultured bacterium. RNAcentral's name for it is "partial 16S ribosomal RNA". It matches the Rfam family "Bacterial small subunit ribosomal RNA", at positions 524 to 776 of the family's 1533-position model. The record is from RNAcentral.
UACGGGGGGGGCAAGCGUUGUUCGGAAUUACUGGGCGUAAAGGGCUCGUAGGCGGCCAACUAAGUCGGAUGUGAAAUCCCCGGGCUCAACCCGGGAACUGCGUCCGAUACUGGAAGGCUUGAAUUCGGGAGAGGGAUGCGGAAUUCCAGGUGUAGCGGUGAAAUGCGUAGAUAUCUGGAGGAAUACCUAUGGCGAAAGCAGGCUACUGGACCGUCACUGACUCUGAUCUGCGAAAGCUAGGGGAGCAAACAGG